Long non-coding RNA from Rhineura floridana, 1508 nucleotides. RefSeq lists it as uncharacterized. Lineage: Eukaryota; Metazoa; Chordata; Lepidosauria; Squamata; Rhineuridae. The transcript is spliced from 4 exons. The record is from RefSeq and is a predicted model, not a curated record.
ACACAAAACCAAACGAACCCCCCUGUUGACACACUCGCACUCACAACUUUCACAAGUUAAACACCAAAACUUUCACAGUAUGCGCUGAGAUAACAGCCUCGAACAAAGGCAAGAAUGAAUAAGAAAUGGAUAUGGAACAGGUUGACUAGAGGCCUAUUCCCUGAAGUGAAGCUCCCCUGCCCUCAAAAUCUGCUCCAGAGAGUUGGGCUUGAAUUUAGAUGUACCAGAUCUUUCUGUUCAAUGUGUGCAAUUGCCAAUGCAGCUUCCACUAGAGAUGUUGGUUCUGAUGAAAACAGAAACAGGAAUGGAAAUUACUGAUGUUCGUUUAUUCAUCCAGGUCCAGAACAGACACAAAUCCAGGCUACACAGGCAUCUACCACAUACAUAUUAAGAAUAUGAAUGCAUCUCUGUUGAAAAUAUGGAAUAGAUAUAAACCAAGGUUCUAUUCGAAAAUACCAUUAUGUGUCUCAAGUCAAGAAGCGUUUUACAGAACAGAAAUGGCUGGAAAAGAGAAAUGGUUAACUUAUCAAGAACUAUUAGAAAAUGUACAUGGAGAAUAUAUAAUGAAAGAGAAAGAACAACUGAUAAAGGAAGGAUAUAGUUCUCAAUGGUUUGCCUAUUUACAAUUGUUAGAAAGAUAAAAUGGACAAGAAAAUGUAUGGGUUUGAAAUAAGUAGAUCUGAUUUUGAAAUAGGUUUGUGUACAAAUGAUGAAAAUACAAUUGCGAAAAUGUAUAAACUCUUGCUGAAAAUGGAUAUGGAAGAAGAACAAGUAAAAGAGUGUAUGGUAAAGUGGGCAAAAAAUUUUGGUUAUAACAUACAAAUGGAUCAAUGGGAAAACAUGUGGAAAAAAGGCUUGAGAUUUACAUUAUGCUAUAAUCUUAAAGAAAAUUUCUAUAAAAUGAUGUAUCGUUGGUACAUGACUCCAGAAAAGUUGUCAAAAAUGUAUAGUAAUGUUUCUAAUGUUUGUUGGAAAUGUAAACAACAAGAAGGAUCAUGUUAUCAUAUGUGGUGGCUGUGUAAAAAGGCAAAAUCAUUUUGGGCACAGAUAGGUAGGAUGAUGCAAAAAAUUCUAAAGAUAAAUAUUCAGUCAAAACCAGAAUUUUUUUUAUUGGGUUUUAUGGAUAAACAAAUAGAAAAGAAAUAUGGAAGAAUAAUAUUAUAGAUGAUUACAGCAGCAAGAUUAUUAUAUGCACAAAAGUGGAAAAUGGAAUCAACACCAACAACGGAAGAAUGGCUAUUGAAAUUAAUGGACUUAGUAGAGAUGGAUAAAUUGACAUGUUUACUUAGAGAAAAAUCGACAGACACAUUUCUUAAGGAAUGGAAGCCUCUCUUAGACUUUUUGUUGAAAGAUCAAAAUAAAAUGAUGAUAUUGGGAUUUGACGAUUAACUAAGAUAGCCUAUGGAGAAAAGUGAUCCUGUAUGUAUAUAUUAAGGGACAGGUUUGAUAUAUAUUAUAUACUUAUAGCUGAUCUGCGACAAAUCAGAAGUCAACUUAUUUUUUUGUAU